RNAcentral lists this ribosomal RNA (497 nucleotides) under uncultured bacterium. RNAcentral describes it as "partial 16S ribosomal RNA". It matches the Rfam family "Bacterial small subunit ribosomal RNA", at positions 28 to 507 of the family's 1533-position model. The record is from RNAcentral.
GAUGAACGCUGGCGGCGUGCCUAAUACAUGCAAGUCAAGCGAACAGACGAGGAGCUUGCUCCUCUGACGUUAGCGGCGGACGGGUGAGUAACACGUGGAUAACCUACCUAUAAGACUGGGAUAACUUCGGGAAACCGGAGCUAAUACCGGAUAAUAUAUUGAACCGCAUGGUUCAAUAGUGAAAGACGGUUUUGCUGUCACUUAUAGAUGGAUCCGCGCCGCAUUAGCUAGUUGGUAAGGUAACGGCUUACCAAGGCGACGAUGCGUAGCCGACCUGAGAGGGUGAUCGGCCACACUGGAACUGAGACACGGUCCAGACUCCUACGGGAGGCAGCAGUAGGGAAUCUUCCGCAAUGGGCGAAAGCCUGACGGAGCAACGCCGCGUGAGUGAUGAAGGUCUUCGGAUCGUAAAACUCUGUUAUUAGGGAAGAACAAAUGUGUAAGUAACUAUGCACGUCUUGACGGUACCUAAUCAGAAAGCCACGGCUAACUACGUG